This is a long non-coding RNA of Oreochromis niloticus (Nile tilapia), 940 nucleotides long. RefSeq lists it as uncharacterized. The record is from RefSeq and is a predicted model, not a curated record. NCBI's taxonomy places the organism in Eukaryota, Metazoa, Chordata, Actinopteri, Cichliformes, Cichlidae. The transcript is spliced from 2 exons.
UCUUCUGUCUUUGUAGUUGCUGGUCCGUCUGUGUAUCCACCCUGCUUCAUCUGUGUGUCUCCCUGCUGUCCGUCGUCUUUUACCCCUGCUCAUCCUCCUUCAUGUUCAGGUCCUGGUUUGUGUUCAGUAGUUUAGUUGUUCCCAGUUUAGAUAGUUUCCAGUCCCGUUUGCUGUUUCUCCAUUUGCAUUUUGUGUUCAAUAAACCACCUCACCUUCACGAGUGCCUGCGACUGGAUCCUCCUUUAACAUUUCCACACGGCUCACUCUACUUGACGUGACAACUGCAAAGGCUUGAUUGACAAUAACAGAUGUAGUUUGGCAGAGAAAUAUUCACAGUGUGCAGCUGGUCAGAGGAUAAAAGAACCUGGAACCAGCAAAAGUGACACAGUGUGUGAAGACUGUCAGCCAGGCUUUUUUUCCAAGGACGGUGUGAACUGUACAGCUUGGACGAUGUAGGUCAUAAUUUAUAUUCAAAUCACUUUAAAGGUGUAUUAUAUAUUCAGUUAUUGAUCAUCAGUGUCUUAAUGGAAUCUCCAAUAUCCUGGGCUGUGUCACAUCACAUUGCCUGCAAUAAUACCAACAUAAAUUUCCAUGUGAUUUAGUGUCAUUGUACUGCCUCUGCUAUGGUUGGGCAGUCAGCUAAACUCCUUCCCCACAUCAAGACUCUGACGACACGAUUCCCGGUUCACAGGUUUAUUGACACAGGGAAAGGUGAAACUGUAACAAACAGUACAAGACAUAAUCACUGUACUUAUUCACCACGUACAUAUAUAACGAAGAAAAUAUAUUAACCCAGUUUUUUAAUAUGUCGACAUGCAAUGUUCAUAUGAAUUACUUCCCUUUUUAACUCAAAUACAAACAUCAAAUUAUGAUUUUAACAAGUCUUGCUACAAUGAAUGCCUCCAAUUCGUUUAUCGUUCCCCUUUAACUAGCUCCAUAA